Molecule: long non-coding RNA, 224 nt
Filed under: Sorghum bicolor (sorghum)
Lineage: Eukaryota; Viridiplantae; Streptophyta; Magnoliopsida; Poales; Poaceae
Description: long non-coding RNA (SBIC_LNC005954)
Source: RNAcentral
CAUGUCACAGGCUAUGAAGGCUAUGCCUACGACCUUGGAGAUGGCGGCGGCCAGGGCGGCGCUGCUUAUGAAACGGAAGGAUGCUACUUCGGGCCAACGGCAACGUGCAACUUCUUUGGGUAGCUUUGCGUAAUUACCACUAGUACUUUUUUUACGUGUUCACUUAAUGGUGAAUAAUAAUGUCGUUAUGCCUUAGGUCGACAUGAUCAAUGAGUUUAAGUUGG